GCUCUGUGUUGUGAUGGCUAUGUGGUGGUUGCACCAAUUAUGUUGUUCUCUGUGUGUAGUGAUGGUAUGGGACUGCUAUGGUGCUAUGUGGGAGAGGGUGUGUAGAGAUGCUGGCAAUGGCUUGCCGAGAUGGUUGCUAGUUCUCUGUGUGGUAUAUGCUGGUGAUGUUUGUGAGGUGUGUAGAUGGCAUUGGUGAAGCCGGAGCAUUGUUAUGGUAUGUGGCAGUGCUAGCAGAGGAGGAAGCAUUGUGUGAGGGUCGGUGAAAGCAAAA
RNAcentral lists this unclassified non-coding RNA (271 nucleotides) under Hevea brasiliensis (rubber tree). Lineage: Eukaryota; Viridiplantae; Streptophyta; Magnoliopsida; Malpighiales; Euphorbiaceae. The record is from RNAcentral.